Molecule: ribosomal RNA, 433 nt
Filed under: uncultured bacterium
Lineage: Bacteria
Description: partial 16S ribosomal RNA
Rfam family: Bacterial small subunit ribosomal RNA
Source: RNAcentral
AACGAACGCUGGCGGCAUGCCUAACACAUGCAAGUCGAACGAGACCUUCGGGUCUAGUGGCGCACGGGUGCGUAACACGUGGGAAUCUGCCCUUUGCUUCGGAAUAACAGUUAGAAAUGACUGCUAAUACCGGAUGAUGUCGAAAGACCAAAGAUUUAUCGGCAAAGGAUGAGCCCGCGUAGGAUUAGGUAGUUGGUGGGGUAAAGGCCUACCAAGCCGACGAUCCUUAGCUGGUCUGAGAGGAUGAUCAGCCACACUGGGACUGAGACACGGCCCAGACGCCUCCGGGACGCAGCAGUGUGGAAUAUUGGACAAGGGUGGAAAGACUGGUCAAGCAAUGCCGGGUGAGAGAUAAAGCCCUUAGGGUUGUAAAGAUCUGUUACCAGUUAUUAGAAUGACAGUACCUGGAGAAUAUGCUCCGGCUAACUCCAUG